Molecule: unclassified non-coding RNA, 296 nt
Filed under: Conocybe juniana var. sordescens
Lineage: Eukaryota; Fungi; Basidiomycota; Agaricomycetes; Agaricales; Bolbitiaceae
Description: sequence contains 5.8S rRNA gene
Rfam family: 5.8S ribosomal RNA (bases 1-53)
Source: RNAcentral
GAACGCACCUUGCGCUCCUUGGUAUUCCGAGGAGCAUGCCUGUUUGAGUGUCAUUUAAUUCUCAAUCUCUACAAACUUGUGUUGUUAGUGGAUUGGAGGUGGGGGUUUCUGUGGGUGUAUUUUUUAUAUCCACUCCCCUGAAAAUUAUUAGCUGGAAUGCCUUUGCAAAACCAACUAUCAGUAUGAUAAUUAUCUAUUCUGAUGUUGCUGUGAAGGGAAUCUGCUUUCAAACCGUCAUUCUGACACUUUGAAUCCAUUUGACCUCAAAUCAGGUAGGACUACCCGCUGAACUUAAG